GAUGAACGCUAGCUACAGGCUUAACACAUGCAAGUCGAGGGGAAACGAUAGAGAAAGCUUGCUUUUUCUAGGCGUCGACCGGCGCACGGGUGAGUAACGCGUAUCCAACCUGCCCAUCACUUGGGGAUAACCUUGCGAAAGUAAGACUAAUACCCAAUGACGUCUCUAGAAGACAUCUGAAAGAGAUUAAAGAUUUAUCGGUGAUGGAUGGGGAUGCGUCUGAUUAGCUUGUUGGCGGGGUAACGGCCCACCAAGGCGACGAUACAUAGGGGGACUGAGAGGUUAACCCCCCACACUGGUACUGAGACACGGACCAGACUCCUACGGGAGGCAGCAGUGAGGAAUAUUGGUCAAUGGACGCAAGUCUGAACCAGCCAUGCCGCGUGCAGGAUGACGGCUCUAUGAGUUGUAAACUGCUUUUGACUAGGGUAAACUCACCUACGUGUAGGUGACUGAAAGUAUAGUACGAAUAAGGAUCGGCUAACUCCGU
This 490-nucleotide ribosomal RNA is filed under the name uncultured bacterium. RNAcentral's name for it is "bacterial SSU rRNA". It matches the Rfam family "Bacterial small subunit ribosomal RNA", at positions 28 to 506 of the family's 1533-position model. The record is from RNAcentral.